GGGCUCUUAGCUCAGCUGGAUAGAGCGUCGGCCUCCGGAGCCGAAGGUCACAGGUUCGAAUCCUGUAGAGCCCG
Sandaracinus amylolyticus is the source of this 74-nucleotide transfer RNA. It matches the Rfam family "tRNA". From Rfam's summary of the family: Transfer RNA (tRNA) molecules are approximately 80 nucleotides in length. Their secondary structure includes four short double-helical elements and three loops (D, anti-codon, and T loops). Further hydrogen bonds mediate the characteristic L-shaped molecular structure. tRNAs have two regions of fundamental functional importance: the anti-codon, which is responsible for specific mRNA codon recognition, and the 3' end, to which the tRNAs corresponding amino acid is attached (by aminoacyl-tRNA synthetases). tRNAs cope with the degeneracy of the genetic code in two manners: having more than one tRNA (with a specific anti-codon) for a particular amino acid; and 'wobble' base-pairing, i.e. permitting non-standard base-pairing at the 3rd anti-codon position. The record is from Rfam. NCBI's taxonomy places the organism in Bacteria, Pseudomonadati, Myxococcota, Polyangiales, Sandaracinaceae.